Molecule: ribosomal RNA, 253 nt
Filed under: uncultured bacterium
Lineage: Bacteria
Description: partial 16S ribosomal RNA
Rfam family: Bacterial small subunit ribosomal RNA
Source: RNAcentral
GACAGAGGAGGCAAGCGUUGUUCGGAAUCACUGGGCUUAAAGCGCGUGUAGGCGGCUUGGCAAGUGUCGUGUGAAAUCCCCCGGCUCAACCGGGGAACUGCACGGCAAACUGCCCGGCUUGAGGUCGGUAGAGGUGCCUGGAACUCUCGGUGGAGCGGUGAAAUGCGUAGAUAUCGAGAGGAACGCCAGAGGCGAAAGCGGGGCACUGGGCCGAUUCUGACGCUGAGACGCGAAAGCGUGGGGAGCAAACAGG